Molecule: ribosomal RNA, 381 nt
Filed under: uncultured bacterium
Lineage: Bacteria
Description: bacterial SSU rRNA
Rfam family: Bacterial small subunit ribosomal RNA
Source: RNAcentral
GACGGAGGGUGCAAGCGUUGUUCGGAUUGACUGGGCGUAAAGGGCGUGUAGGCGGUUGGUCAAGUCCGAUGUGAAAGCCCGGAGCUCAGCUCCGGAAGUGCAUCGGAAACUAGCCAGCUGGAGCGCGAUAGAGGAGGGUGGAAUUCCUGGUGUAGCGGUGAAAUGCGUAGAUAUCAGGAGGAACACCGGCGGCGAAGGCGGCCCUCUGGAUCGUUGCCGACGCUGAGACGCGAAAGCGUGGGGAGCAAACAGGAUUAGAUACCCUGGUAGUCCACGCUGUAAACGAUGGGUACUAGGUGUUCGGGGUAUUGACCCCCUGAGUGCCGCAGUUAACGCAUUAAGUACCCCGCCUGGGGACUACGGCCGCAAGGUUAAAACUCA